UACAUGUGGGGCAAGCGUUGUUCGGAAUUACUGGGCAUAAAGGGCGCGUAGGCGGCUUGGUAAGUCGGGGGUGAAAGUCAGCGGCUCAACCGCUGGACUGCCUUCGAGACUGCCUGGCUUGAGCAUGGUAGAGGCUGGCGGAAUUCCCGGUGUAGCGGUGGAAUGCGUAGAGAUCGGGAAGAACAUCGGUGGCGAAGGCGGCCAGCUGGGCCAUUGCUGACGCUGAUGCGCGACAGCGUGGGGAGCAAACAGG
RNAcentral lists this ribosomal RNA (253 nucleotides) under uncultured bacterium. RNAcentral describes it as "partial 16S ribosomal RNA". It matches the Rfam family "Bacterial small subunit ribosomal RNA", at positions 524 to 776 of the family's 1533-position model. The record is from RNAcentral.